CACAAGGGGUGAAGCCUGCGGUUCAAUUGGAGUCAACGCCAGGAAACUUACCAGGAGAGACAGCAGAUUGAGGGUCAGGCUGAAGACCUUACCUGACGAGCUGAGAGGAGGUGCAUGGCCGUCGCCAGCUCGUGCCGUGAGGCGUCCUGUUAAGUCAGGCAACGAGCGAGACCCCUAUCCGUAAUUGCUAACUGCCCAGAGAUGGGUAGAGGCUAGUUACAGAGACUGCCGCUGCUAAAGCGGAGGAAGGAAGGGGCCACGGCAGGUCAGUAUGCCCCGAAACUCCUGGGCCACACGCGGGCUGCAAUGGUAGGGACAAUAGGUUCCGACCUCGAAAGAGGAAGGCAAUCCCCAAACCCUACCCCAGUUGUGAUCGAGGAUUGAAACCCGUCCUCGUGAAUAUGGAACCCCUAGUAACCGCGUGUCAUCMCCGCGCGGUGAAUACGUCCCUGCUCC
RNAcentral lists this ribosomal RNA (456 nucleotides) under uncultured archaeon. RNAcentral's name for it is "bacterial SSU rRNA". It matches the Rfam family "Archaeal small subunit ribosomal RNA", at positions 880 to 1335 of the family's 1478-position model. The record is from RNAcentral.